RNAcentral lists this ribosomal RNA (493 nucleotides) under uncultured bacterium. RNAcentral's name for it is "partial 16S ribosomal RNA". It matches the Rfam family "Bacterial small subunit ribosomal RNA", at positions 29 to 523 of the family's 1533-position model. The record is from RNAcentral.
AUUGAACGCUGGCGGCAUGCCUUACACAUGCAAGUCGAACGGUAACAGGUUAAGCUGACGAGUGGCGAACGGGUGAGUAAUAUAUCGGAACGUGCCCAGUCGUGGGGGAUAACUGCUCGAAAGAGCAGCUAAUACCGCAUACGACCUGAGGGUGAAAGCGGGGGAUCGUAAGACCUCGCGCGAUUGGAGCGGCCGAUAUCAGAUUAGGUAGUUGGUGGGGUAAGAGCCCACCAAGCCAACGAUCUGUAGCUGGUCUGAGAGGACGACCAGCCACAUUGGGACGGGGACACGGCCAAGACUCCUGCGGGAGGCAGAAGUGGGGAAUUUUGGAAAAUGGGCGAAAGCCUGACCCAGCCAUGCCGCGGGCGGGAAGAAGGCUUUGGGGUUGUAAACCGCUUUUGUCAGGGAAAAAAAGGUUCUGGUUAAACCCUGGGACUCAUGACGGUACCUAAAGAAUAAGCACCGGCUAACUACGUGCCAGCCGCCGCCGUAA